RNAcentral lists this ribosomal RNA (485 nucleotides) under uncultured bacterium. Its description in RNAcentral is "bacterial SSU rRNA". It matches the Rfam family "Bacterial small subunit ribosomal RNA", at positions 28 to 513 of the family's 1533-position model. The record is from RNAcentral.
GAUGAACGCUAGCGGCAGGCCUAACACAUGCAAGUCGAGGGGUAGAGGAAGCUUGCUUCCUUGAGACCGGCGCACGGGUGCGUAACGCGUAUGCAAUCUACCUUUUACAGAGGGAUAGCCCAGAGAAAUUUGGAUUAAUACCUCAUAGUAUAUAUCAUUCGCAUGUUUGGUAUAUUAAAGUUCCAACGGUAAAGAUGAGCAUGCGUCCCAUUAGUUAGUUGGUAAGGUAACGGCUUACCAAGACGAUGAUGGGUAGGGGUCCUGAGAGGGAGAUCCCCCACACUGGUACUGAGACACGGACCAGACUCCUACGGGAGGCAGCAGUGAGGAAUAUUGGUCAAUGGACGCAAGUCUGAACCAGCCAUGCCGCGUGCAGGAAGACGGUCCUAUGGAUUGUAAACUGCUUUUGUACGGGAAGAAACACUCCUACGUGUAGGAGCCUGACGGUACCGUAAGAAUAAGGAUCGGCUAACUCCGUGCCAGCA